RNAcentral lists this ribosomal RNA (670 nucleotides) under uncultured Burkholderiales bacterium. RNAcentral's name for it is "bacterial SSU rRNA". It matches the Rfam family "Bacterial small subunit ribosomal RNA", at positions 113 to 779 of the family's 1533-position model. Lineage: Bacteria; Pseudomonadati; Pseudomonadota; Betaproteobacteria; Burkholderiales. The record is from RNAcentral.
AUACAUCGGAACGUGUCCAGUCGUGGGGGAUAACCAGUCGAAAGACUGGCUAAUACCGCAUGAGAUCGAGAGAUGAAAGCAGGGGACCGCAAGGCCUUGCGCGAUUGGAGCGGCCGAUGUCGGAUUAGCUUGUUGGUGAGGUAAAAGCUCACCAAGGCGACGAUCCGUAGCUGGUUUGAGAGAACGACCAGCCACACUGGGACUGAGACACGGCCCAGACUCCUACGGGAGGCAGCAGUGGGGAAUUUUGGACAAUGGGGGCAACCCUGAUCCAGCCAUGCCGCGUGUGUGAAGAAGGCCUUCGGGUUGUAAAGCACUUUCGGACGGAACGAAAUCGCGUCGGUGAAUAUCCGGCGUGGAUGACGGUACCGUAAGAAGAAGCACCGGCUAACUACGUGCCAGCAGCCGCGGUAAUACGUAGGGUGCGAGCGUUAAUCGGAAUUACUGGGCGUAAAGCGUGCGCAGGCGGUUUCGCUAGUCAGACGUGAAAGCCCCGGGCUUAACCUGGGAAUGGCGUUUGAAACUACGAGACUUGAGUAUGGCAGAGGGAGGUGGAAUUCCACGUGUAGCAGUGAAAUGCGUAGAUAUGUGGAGGAACACCGAUGGCGAAGGCAGCCUCCUGGGCCAAUACUGACGCUCAUGCACGAAAGCGUGGGGAGCAAACAGGAUU